This 424-nucleotide ribosomal RNA is filed under the name uncultured bacterium. Its description in RNAcentral is "bacterial SSU rRNA". It matches the Rfam family "Bacterial small subunit ribosomal RNA", at positions 75 to 492 of the family's 1533-position model. The record is from RNAcentral.
UGCAGGGAUGCACUGGCGGCGACCGGCGUACGGGUGCGUAACGCGUAUGCAACCUGCCCCGCACCGGGGGAUAGCCCGCCGAAAGGCGGAUUAAUACCCCAUGGUCCCGGGGGCCCGCAUGGGCUACCGGGUAAAGCCUUGGCGGUGCGGGAUGGGCAUGCGUGCCAUUAGCUGGCUGGUGGGGUAACGGCCCACCAGGGCGACGAUGGCUAGGGGGUCUGAGAGGAUGGUCCCCCACACUGGUACUGAGACACGGACCAGACUCCUACCGGGAGGAAACUGAGGGAUAUUGGUCAAUGGGCGGAAGCCUGAACCAGCCAUGCCGCGUGCGGGAUGAAGGCCCUACGGGUUGUAAACCGCUUUUCCCCGGGAAGAAUAAGCCCCGACGCGUACGGGGAUGCCGGUAGACACGGGGAUAAGAUCG